GUAACACGUAGUCAACAUGCCCAGGGGACGUGGAUAACCUCGGGAAACUGAGGAUAAACCGCGAUAGGUCACUACUUCUGGAAUGGGUAAUGACUCAAACUAUAUGGCCCCUGGAUUGGACUGCGGCCGAUCAGGCUGUUGGUGAGGUAAUGGCCCACCAAACCUGUAACCGGUACGGGCUCUGAGAGGAGGAGCCCGGAGAUGGGCACUGAGACAAGGGCCCAGGCCCUAUGGGGCGCAGCAGGCGCGAAACCUCUGCAAUAGGCGAAAGCCUGACAGGGUUACUCUGAGUGAUCUCCGUUAAGGAGAUCUUUUGGCACCUCUAAAAAUGGUGCAGAAUAAGGGGUGGGCAAGUCUGGUGUCAGCCGCCGCGGUAAUACCAGCACCCCGAGUGGUCGGGACGUUUAUUGGGCCUAAAGCAUCCGUAGCCGGUUCUACAAGUCUUCCGUUAAAUCCAGCUGCUUAACAGAUGGGCUGCGGAAGAUACUAUGGAGCU
This 496-nucleotide ribosomal RNA is filed under the name uncultured archaeon. RNAcentral describes it as "bacterial SSU rRNA". It matches the Rfam family "Archaeal small subunit ribosomal RNA", at positions 93 to 593 of the family's 1478-position model. The record is from RNAcentral.